CCUUAAAUAAGCUAAAAUAAGCUGGUGGGCUCAUAACCCACAAAUGGUAAAACCUUUAAGGA
Molecule: transfer RNA, 62 nt
Filed under: Monacha cartusiana
Lineage: Eukaryota; Metazoa; Mollusca; Gastropoda; Stylommatophora; Hygromiidae
Description: tRNA-Met
Source: RNAcentral